GUGUUCGUGGAAAGAAGAGAUGGGUGGCAUCUCCCAUUCUACCCCAACAGGGACAGAAACAACCUUCGGGCAUUACCUGUGAUCAGACACAACCGGUUAAGGCUACCCUCUUUGGUGGAUCUAACCCUAUUUUUUU
This 136-nucleotide non-coding RNA is filed under the name Capsicum annuum. Lineage: Eukaryota; Viridiplantae; Streptophyta; Magnoliopsida; Solanales; Solanaceae. The record is from RNAcentral.